ACCACCGAGCCCUGCCUUAGCUUGGCGGCUGUGUUCCUAAAAGUCAGGAAACGAGADGGCUGACUCGAUGGCUCGG
This 76-nucleotide transfer RNA is filed under the name Geobacillus stearothermophilus. RNAcentral describes it as "tRNA-Phe". The record is from RNAcentral. Lineage: Bacteria; Bacillati; Bacillota; Bacilli; Caryophanales; Anoxybacillaceae.